This 2289-nucleotide unclassified non-coding RNA is filed under the name Hevea brasiliensis (rubber tree). The record is from RNAcentral. Lineage: Eukaryota; Viridiplantae; Streptophyta; Magnoliopsida; Malpighiales; Euphorbiaceae.
CGUCCCUAAACUUAAAAAUGUAACAUAAAACUUUAUAAACUUUGAAAUUUUGUACAGUAAAAUUCUUCUAAUUUUCAAUAGCUGAUUUAUAAGUAAUACAUUGAUGUGGACAAUCCAGAGUAGCAAUAACGUGGAUAAUUAUUGCCGUUUUUCGGAAUAAAAUCCAUCUAAUAAGUUGUUAUAUAUCUAGCACUUCAUUAUCUCAUACAAUUGAGAUUUUUCAUCAUUGAUCUGUGAAAAAAAUCUUAAUCGGUUUUGUUGUUGUCAUAUAGAGGAGAGAGAAUUGUUUACGUCACCGCUACUCUAAAUUGUAUAAAUCGACUAUUGGGAGUCAAAUGGAUUUUACUGUGCAAAAUUUUAAAAUUGAAGAUGUUUUGUGUUAUAUUUUUAAUUUUAAGAACAACUCUGUUACAACAUCUAAAGGUUAAGGACAACUAUUGAAAUCUAUCCUAAGUUAUGGAUACAUUUGUACAUUUAUUUUUGAAAAAUUAAGGAUACUAUAUGGUGGAGCUAUGCUAAUGAAUUGACCUUUUUAAAUACAUGUGCACAUUUAUUUAUCUUUUUCCCCAAUGCAUAAAUUUCAAUAACAAGAACAAGAACAACUAUGCCUUAAUCCCAAAUUAGUGGGAUCAACUCAAUGGAUUAUUUUUUGCCAUUUAGUUUUAUUUGAAACCAAUUAUGCAUUAAAAUUUAAAAAUUUUUAAUCUUUUUAUACUACUUCUUUCAACAUUAUUUUAGGUCUCCCUAUUUCUCUUCUCACCCUUUCUACCAUUAAUUUAUCCUACUUCCAUACUGGGGUAUUUAAUACUUUGUUGUACAUGACCAAAUCAUCUUAAUCGAUCAUAUGUCAUUUUAUUCUCAAUAUGUGCUAUGUGCACUCCUUAGUGAAUGUGAUCAUUUUUAAUUUAUCCAUUAUUGUAUUAUUAGAUAAAUAUCCAUUUUAACAUUUGUAUUUCUGUCAUACUCAUCUUGUGAGUAUGUUGUACCUUAGAUGCCCAAUAUUUUCUCCCAUGCAAUAUAGCUGGCUUAACUACAAUUCUAUAGAACUUACCUUUUAUUUUGUCAGAGAUCCUACAUCACAUGGCAUACCCGUUGCUCUCUUCCAUUUCAUCCAUUUUGUUUUGAUUUUAUGAGUUGCAUUCUUAUCUAUUACUUUGUUUUCAUGGAUGAUAAAACUCCAACCAAUCAAACCUCAUCUUUGAUCUUUCUAUGAAAACUAAACUCACAAUGCAUAUAUUAUGUCAUACUUUUGCAUAGCCUAAAAUCCUUACUUUUAAGAGGCCGUCACAACUCUUAACUUUUGGUUAAUUCCUUUACUAGUUUCAUCCAUUAAGAUGACAUCAUCUACAAAUAACGUGUAUCAUGGGAUAUCAUCUUGAAUAUGACUAGUUAAUUCAUCCAUAAUUAAGAUAAAUAGGUGCAAACUUAAAGUCGAUCCUUGAUAUAAACUCAUUGUUAUGGGAAGCUCGUCCUUGUCCCCUCCCUAUCUUUCUAUAAACUGGAGAAAAUCUAGGAAAUAAAUAUGUUGUUGAUUGAUGCAUGUUGAAUUGAUAGGCCAUCUAAAGUUUUAUUACCAAACUUGUACAUUCUUGAAUAUAUAAUGAGAAUUUUGUUGUCAUCGUUGACAAACAUGACUAUAGAAAGAAAUUAAAAGUCAAAGAAAGAUAGGCCAUAAGAUGCCAGACUCUCUCCGUACCUGUACCUCUACCUUUUUCCUCUGUCUGUCUGUCUCUCUCCACAAUCCUCUGAUAUUUCAAAUAUCAAACUUAACUGCGUAGAGCAUCUAUUUGGGUCUUUCCUUAUUUUUUCAAUUAUCUCCCAUUUAUGCUGUCUGAAGUUUGACAAUUGUAUUGGCAAAAAAAGUAUUGGGAUAGUUAGUUGAUGAAAAUGGAGGAUUAGUUGUAUGAUAGAUUAAAUGAGGCAAAACCAACUAAACCAUAUCCUAUACUACGUUUCUAAAGCUACAUGAAUCACAUGAUAUACGAUUAAUGAUUUGAUUUUGAAUAUCAGUUUUAUGGUUAUUUAUUUAUGAUUUCUAUUAAAUUUCUUAACAAUAUAAAUAAUGGUUAUUAUUUUUAUAUGUAAAAGCUACACAUUUUGCUAUAUAUAACUAAUAUUUGUUAGAGCAAAAAAUGGUCAAGCGUAUUAAAAUUUGUGUGUAUGAUUUUUUGAAUAUUUGUGAAUUUUUUUUUAUUACAACUUAAAGCUUGUUCAGAAAGAUAUGAUUUUGACUCUUGUUUCCUUUGCAGUUAAGUUUGUGCGUGCAUGUGUGUGUGUGUGUGUGUGUGU